Molecule: ribosomal RNA, 143 nt
Filed under: uncultured eukaryote
Lineage: Eukaryota
Description: partial small subunit ribosomal RNA
Rfam family: Eukaryotic small subunit ribosomal RNA
Source: RNAcentral
UACACACCGCCCGUCGCACCUACCAAUUGAAUGGUCCGGUGAAUCGUUGGGAUUAAGGUUGGGUUCCUUUAUUGGAGUCUGACUGUGAUAACUUCUCUAAACCUUCGAAUUUAGAGGAAGGUGAAGUCGUAACAAGGUUUCCG